This 2253-nucleotide long non-coding RNA is filed under the name Anas zonorhyncha (Eastern spot-billed duck). RNAcentral describes it as "lncRNA (ENSAZOG00000010811.1)". Lineage: Eukaryota; Metazoa; Chordata; Aves; Anseriformes; Anatidae. The record is from RNAcentral.
AUGGACGUUUCAGUGGAAAACCAAGAGUGGGAGAGAGUUACAGUAGAAAGAGGAGCUGUGAGAUGCCUGCACAAAGACAUCCAAAGAAGAAGUGAAAGGAGCAUAAGGAGACUCGCUAAUAUUAUUUUAACUUGCCAUAAUCUCGAAGCAGCUUUUAAAGGCUUUUUUUACGCACUUUCUGAAAAUAAAUGCUUGAAGUUAGACAUGCCCUGUUCCAAGAAAAAGCAAAUCUCAGCAGAUUAACAUUGUUAAAUAUGCGGUGUGUUAAACAUACAGUGCUUCAAAUUUUAUAGCUUAUACACUAUUGGUCUAUCGGGCCCUUCCAGGAAAGCACUUACGAGCAUGCCUAAUGUUAAGCACAUGAGCAGUGUUCUUAAAGUCAGCAGUGUUGUUCGUGUGGGUAAGUGCUUUGCUGGACCAGCGCCUAAAGUCCUGUUAGGUGCUGAGCAUCCUGAUCCAUAUCCAGCAAAGCACUUACGUCCAUGCUUAUCUUGAAGUGGAAGAGCCGGUCUAGCUAAUAUUUGUGCAUUAGUGUUUGCCAUAAAAACCUCUCUUGGCACAGUGACUCACAUGCUUAAAAUUAAGCACCUGCCUAAGUAUUUUGCAAGGUCAGACCAACAGCAUCCUUGAGCAAAUCUUAAAUAAUUACUUGAUUUUGUAUUAAUUUCCCUUUUUGUAGUCUUUGUUCUGUUUUUUAACAGAGCAUAUGAUUUUAUUGGCUAUAAUUUCAAGCUUUAGAAGCUAGGUAGCAAAAUGUUUCAUACAAUUUUCUCCUUUCUUUUUCAAACUCUAUCCAAAUACUUUUUUGGACUAAAAGUCCAUUUGUUCAGACUUAGAAUCAUCUAAAAUGAAAAAAAAAAAAAAAAGUUAACUUUUUCUUAGGAUAUAUCCUUUUUUUUUUUUUUGUAAGAACCAUUUCACCGAGUUUGAUUUGACUGGGUUUGACCAACCCUGACCUAUUAUCCAGAAGAUGUCACCUAGCUCUGGCUUGUGAGUGGUCUGACUCUUGAAGUAAAGUAAACUUCAAUAAAAAUGUCAAAGUUCACAUAAAACACGGAGGAAAUGGAUGCUAAUGAGAUUCUUAACUGGUCUGUCAGCUUCACAGACUGAUGUUUUUAACUUAAAUAACGGUUUAGCAAACUACCAAACUUUAGCAUGGAACUUUUUGUUACAGAAUUUUUAAAGUGGUAAUUCACAGGAUUUUGAACAUAAUAAAUGUGUACUUUUGUAAAUUUUAACUAUGAAGAUGAUUCACAGAUACCUCAAAUGGACAAAAUGUUCUGUAAAAUUUAAAUGAAGCAUUCCAGGUGAGAAAUUAAAAGAUGCUUUGCUUCCAUACAUUGUGCCUAACUUCAAGUCAAACAAGAACUUCCAGAAGUGUUUAUUAGGACAUUCCUGAAAAUGAAAUUCCAAGAGGAAGAGGCAAUGGCAUGUUCAACUUUCUUUUCAAUUUAAAUCAACUCUGUUUUGGAAUAUGAAAGAUCCAAACGGUUAACCAUUUAGAAAUCGUGUAUGAUAGGAGAUGGAAUCCAAAUACUUAUUUUAUAAAUUUGCACUGAAUUCUUUGCUUCCUUUUCACUUGUCUAGUUAAGCAAAGUGCACUGUGCCUUUUCAAGGAAAAAAUGUUUAUUUUAACAUAAUUUUCUAAGCAGUACUGCAAUAAUAUUAUAUGGGUUCAAGAUGAGAUUUCUAUUUUUCUAGCUUCUUAUAUUCAAAAAAUACUUGGUGUAUAAAUAAGAUUGUAUAUUUCAGUAAACAGUUGUUAAUUUUUUAUUUCAGAUUUUAUUUUUACUUCAUGUGCAAGAAAAAAAAUAAAUACCUUUGGAAUAAUUUGUUGAUCGUUUCUUCAUUAAUCUCAGAGAGAAAUACAAAGAGAAAUGCAGUGCCAUCAGACUACUAAUUCCACUAGCCUCUGCAAGCUAGUCAGUAAUUUUGAGUUGAAGGAAAAAAAUGACUCCUGAGAUAGACACAAAUUUAAAGGUUCAUUAAGAGAGAUUCAGUGAUGCUAAUUGUUGAGGAGCUCACUGUACAGGUGCUCUAGUGAAAACCCAUUGGUGUGUGCAUACAGUUGCUGGCCCACAUACUUUGGCCAUUUUGCUUUUAAUGACUGUGGUGUAAAGCCUCUGAGAUAAGGAGGGGAUAAGGAGAGAAGAGGUGAAGAGAAUGAUGUGAUAUUCAUGUCAUUUUUAACAUAUUUCACAUUCUGUGCCAUCACACACGUAGUACAUAGGUGUUCUGUCGCUGAUCUACACG